This 76-nucleotide transfer RNA is filed under the name Pseudomonadota bacterium. Its description in RNAcentral is "tRNA-Lys". It matches the Rfam family "tRNA". From Rfam's summary of the family: Transfer RNA (tRNA) molecules are approximately 80 nucleotides in length. Their secondary structure includes four short double-helical elements and three loops (D, anti-codon, and T loops). Further hydrogen bonds mediate the characteristic L-shaped molecular structure. tRNAs have two regions of fundamental functional importance: the anti-codon, which is responsible for specific mRNA codon recognition, and the 3' end, to which the tRNAs corresponding amino acid is attached (by aminoacyl-tRNA synthetases). tRNAs cope with the degeneracy of the genetic code in two manners: having more than one tRNA (with a specific anti-codon) for a particular amino acid; and 'wobble' base-pairing, i.e. permitting non-standard base-pairing at the 3rd anti-codon position. RNAcentral also lists the same sequence under 1 other name. The record is from RNAcentral. Lineage: Bacteria; Pseudomonadati; Pseudomonadota.
GGGUUCUUAGCUCAGCUGGUAGAGCAGCGGACUCUUAAUCCGUAGGUCGUAGGUUCGAAUCCUACAGGACCCACCA